RNAcentral lists this long non-coding RNA (4901 nucleotides) under Homo sapiens (human). RNAcentral describes it as "non-protein coding lnc-DSG1-13:2". The record is from RNAcentral. Lineage: Eukaryota; Metazoa; Chordata; Mammalia; Primates; Hominidae.
GGACUUAUUCAGCAGAACCCCCAAGAAGAUGCAGACUAAGAAAUGCCAAUGCUUUGAUGGGUACAAGGAAGAAAUAGGACUAAGACAAGACAAAUAAUGGAGGACUUACAUGGCAGAGGUAAAUCACCCACAUCUCUUUCUCCAACUCCUUAUGCUCGAUGCUCAGCAUUGAAGCCCUUUACCCCAGGGACAAAUACAAGUUUGACAAAGCCAUCUGAGGAAAAUAAGAGACUUGAUCUUUAUGAGGAAGCAGACAUAUUUGCAAAAAAAAAAAGUAAAUAAAAAUUAGCAGUGUAAAAGGAUAAAGGCAAGAAACCUCAAUGCUAAAUAUUCAACUCCCACAUUGGCACCUUUACCUCAGCCUUCUGUCAGAAACAGUGUAAGUGAUGGAAAAAUGAAAAAGUAACAUGUAGCGGCCUUGUUUUCAAAGUUGGAAUUACUGGUGACUGACAAAGGAAUCUACCAUCUAUGUCUGCUUGUCACUCUGGGAGUCAGCUGUUACUGGAAGAAUAAUGGAUGUCCAACUUCUGAUAUGCCUUUCUUACCAAAGAUGUGGAUAACUAUAUUUCUGAAUAAUCAUCAGCUCUUCUGUCAUAAGUGAUCAUAUUUCCACAUUCAAGUUUGUUUUGUUUUUUCUUUCCCAAAUUAUCAUGUGCCUGGAGAGUCAUAGAAUGGUCUCUCAUGAAUUCAAAGACACAGAUUGUUUACUGUGAGGUUUAAGAAAUUUACAUGAAUAAUUUAGGUAAUCAUCUUACCCUUUUCCUCUGAAGCAAUUGAGAAACAAGCACAGGAGUCAAAUGAAUAUUCAAAAAUUAAGUUUUAAAAACCAAUAAAACCUGGAUUGGAAGAUGAAACUCAGCCCCAGACUGGAACCAUAUUUCUACUUCCUCCCCAUCCCUUGUCCACAAUGUUCCUUCUGCAUCCAGAAUCCAGGGGUGAUGGCUGCAGUGCAAAACAUACACUAGAAGAUGACUUCAUAAUAGAGUGGUAAAUAUAUAGUUAAGGAUCCCAGAAAAAAAAGAAACUAGGGAACACAGUUUUUUACUCACUGGAUAAAUGAGUCUUCCUUUGGAAAAAAUGAGUCAGAGAAGCCAGAGUGGGAGUAUGAGAUCCUGAAUCCUGAGUCACUCUUGAGUGACUCAAGCCAACAGCAGAACACUAUUAAAGUGCAAAUAUACGCUCUCAAUUAAAAGCAACCACUUUUAAUUCAUCAGCAUCUUCUCAAAGAUAACAGCAGAUGAUCCAGCUGAUACAAAGAACUACUGUCAAAACUAUAAUACUCAGAAUUGAAAAUUUCAGAUGAAAAAAUUGGAAUAUAGAAGGUAUGGUGAGGUAUAGGAGAAGCAGGUCCAUGUGAGGGUCAUAGUUCAGGGUUUCUGGUGUCUGUGCUGCUGCAUUAUAAUUCUGGAUUUGAACACAAACUUCAGCUACCAUUUUGCUUUUUGCUAAUCAACUUUCUAAGAUAAAGACAGCAACAUCUAACAUCUGUAUUAUACUAUCAUCUAGAAUUAGCAAGGUAUACUAUUUCUCUUCUACUUUUCUUUUGAGGCCACUUUAUUGAGUUGCUAGUGCAAACUGUACAGGAUAUAUUAAUUUUUACCUUUAGUGGCAUUAUAAACAACCUCACCUACACUCAAUAUUAACACUGAACAUAAACAUUUGCUGACCACAUCUAAUUGUACUAAGCAUCAUACCUUAGCCACUUGGCAGAUAUUACUGCAUUUACUAUUCAUAACUUUAUGAGGUAUCAUUAAACCAUUUUACAUAAGACUCUGUUUCUAUCUGAGAGUAAAACUUUUUCUAUUGGGUGCAAUCCCUUAAACAACUAAAUAAUCACCCAGGCAAUAAGAUAAGUGAACUUAUUCAACAUUUGAUACUACUGAACACUGUAUUUAUCAAAUCACUUUCUUUUCCUAUCAAGAGAGAACUUUGUAUUAAUUCAGCUAGCACCCAUGGACCCAGCAGUGGGCACCUACCUAAGGAAAACAGCAGUGAACAAGGCUCAUGCUAGACUUCCUGUCAAGCCACCAUCUAGGUGGCAAUUGGUUGACUUGACACAGCUGAAUUUUCUAUUUUUUCUCAGAAGGCUAAUAGACCUAGUAAGAAAUGAUGGAGUGUUAAGAAUGUAAGAACCCGAAAUCUAAUAGAGCAAAUGGUCUCCUCCAGGAAAGUAUUAUUUACUCAUAUCCGUAUUACCUAGAAGUGGCAGAAAAGAACUGGAAGGGAAGAUUGCUAUGGAUUACUGUAUACUCCGCUAAGCAUUCUCUGUGAAUGAACUGCAUUCUUGAGUGAAUCACCACUGGCAUUAUUGAAUAGUUUGAAUUCCAGGGCUCUGAGCUACAAUUUGGAUGUUCCACAAACAGUGAGAUACUGGAAAACUAAUAUGAACUCAUUAGAUUAUGAGAAACUGAAAUGAACAAAAGGAAAAAUUUUUAUUAACAGUCCAACAUUAGUGAAUUGGUCUUUAUUUGCAUUUUGUUGUUGCACCAAUAGGGGAUUUUUGACAGUUGUACUUUCAUCAAUUGGCUGAGAAAAAUAAUUUUUAAAAGAUAUUUAAAAUGUAUAAAAUUUGCGUGAGUACAUAGUAGGUAUAUAUAUUUAUGGAGUACACAAGAUGUUUUGAUUCAGGCAUGUAUUUGAAAUAAGCACAUGAUAAGGAAUGGGGUCUCUUUCUCAUCAAGCAUUUAUCCUUUGAGUUACAAACAAUCCAAUUAAACUCUUUUUAUUAUUUUAAAAUAUACAAUUAAGUUAUUAUUGAUUAUGGUCACUCUAUUGUGCUAUCAAAUAAUGGGUGUUAUUUAUUCUUUCUAUUUUUUUUGUACUCAUUAACCAUCCACACCUCCCCUCUAUACCCCCAUAACCCUUCCCAGCCUCUGGUAACCAUCCCUCUACUCUCUGUGUUCACAGGUUCAGUGGUUUUUAUUUUUAGAUCACACAAAUAAGUGAGAACAUGUGAUGUUUGUCUUUCUGUGCCUGGUUUUUUUCACUUAAUGUAAUGAUAUCUCAGUUCCAUCCAUGGUGUUGCAAACGACUGGGACUCACUCUUUUUUUAUGGCUGAACAGUACUACUCUAUUGUAUAUAUGUACCACAUUUUCUUUAUCCAUUCAUCUGUUGAUGGAGACUUAGGUUGCUUCCAAAUCGUAGCUAUUGUAAACAGUGCUGCAACAAACAUAGGAGUGUAGAUAUAUCUUUAAUAUAUUGACUUCCUGUCUUUUGGGUAUAGACCCAGCUAUUGGAUUGCUGGAUCAUAUGGUAGGUCCAAUUGUCGUUUUUUGAGGAACCUCCAAACUGUUCUCCAUAGUGGUGGUACUAAUUUACAUUCCUGCCAACAGUGUACUAGUGUUCCCGUUUCUUCACAUCCUUGCCAGCAUUUGUUAUUGCCUGACUUUUGAAUAUAAGCCAUUUUAACUGGGAUGAGGUGAUAUCUCAUUAUAGCUCUGGUUUGCAUUUCUCUGAAGAUCAAUGAUGUUGAGAACCUUUUCAUGUACUUGUUUUUCAUUUGUAUGUCUUCUUUUGAGAAAUGUCUAUUCAAAUAUUUUGCCCAUAUUUUGACCAAUCUGGUCAAAAUUAGACUAUUUAGAAUAGAGUUGUUUGAGCUCCUUAUAUAUUCUGGUUAUUGAUUCCUAUAAGGUGGGUAGUUUGCCAAUAUUUCUCCCAUUAUGUGGGCUGUUUCUUCACUUUGUUGAUUGUAUCCUUUGUUGUGCGGAAGCUUUUUAACCUGAUGUGAUCCCAUUUGUCCGUUUUUGCUUUAGUUGCCUGUACUUGCAGGGUAUGGCUCAAGAAGUCUUUGUACAGACCAAUGUCCUGGAAAUUUUCCCCAGUGUUUCCUUAUAGUAGUUUUAUAGUUUGAGGUCUUAGAUUUAAAUCUUUAAUUCAUUUUGAUUUUAUUUUUAUAUAUGGUGUUGGAUAAGGGUCUAGAUUCAUUCUUAUGCGUUUGGAUAUUCAAUUUUCCCAACACCAUUUAUUGAAGAGACUAUCUUUUCCCCAGUGUAGGUUCUUGGUACCUUCAUCAACAACGAGUUCACUGGAGGUGUGUGCAUUUGUUUCUGGGUUCUCUAUUCUGUUCCAUUGGUCUAUAUGUCUGUAUGUUUUUAGGCCAGUAUCAUGUUAUUUUGGUUACUAUAGCUCUGUAGUAUAAUUUGAAGCUGGAUAUUGUGAUUCCUCCAGUUUUGGUCUUUUUUCUUAGGAUAGUUUUGGCUAUUCUUGUUGCUAUUCUUUUGUGGUUGUGUGUAAGUUUUAGGAUAUAUUUUUCUAUUUCUGUGAAGAAAGUCAUUGCUAUUUUGAUAAGGAUUGUAUUGAAUAUGUAGAUUUCUUUAGGUAGUGUGAAUAUUUAACAAUAUUGAUUCUUCCAAUCCAUGAACAUGAAAUAUUUUCCCAUUUUUUAAUGUCCUCUUGAAUUUCUUUCAACAGUGUUUUAUUGUUUUCAUUAUAGAGGUCUUUCACUUCUUUGGUUAAGUUAAUUCCUUGGUAUUUAAUUUUAUGCAUGGCUAUUGUAAGUGGGAUUACUUUUAUUUCUUUUCUUACGUUGUUCACUGUUGGCAUAUAGAAAUACUACUGAUUUUUGUAUGUUGAUUUUGUAUCCUGAAACUUUACUGAAUGUAUCACUUCUAAUCAUUUUCCUAUGGAGUCUUUAGGUUUUUCCAAAUGUAAGGUUAUAUCAUCUGCAAACAAGGACAAUUUGACUUCUUCCUUUUCAUUGUGGAUGCCCUUUAUAUUUUUCUCUUGUCUGACUGCUCUAGAUAGGAGUUCCAGUACUAUGUUGAAUAAGUGGUGACAGUGGCCAUCCUUGUUUUGUUCCAGAUCUUAGGCGAAAGACUUUCAGUUUUUCCCCAUUCAGCAUGAUACUAGCUGUAGCUCUGUCAUAUAUGGUUUUUAUUAUUUUGAGGUAUGUUCCUUCUAU